CCGCGGCCUAUCAGCUUGUUGGUGGGGUAAUGGCCUACCAAGGCGACGACGGGUAGCCGACCUGAGAGGGUGACCGGCCACACUGGGACUGAGACACGGCCCAGACUCCUACGGGAGGCAGCAGUGGGGAAUAUUGCACAAUGGGCGGAAGCCUGAUGCAGCGACGCCGCGUGAGGGAUGACGGCCUUCGGGUUGUAAACCUCUUUCGACAGGGACGAAGCGUGAGUGACGGUACCUGUAGAAGAAGCACCGGCCAACUACGUGCCAGCAGCCGCGGUAAUACGUAGGGUGCGAGCGUUGUCCGGAAUUACUGGGCGUAAAGAGCUUGUAGGCGGUUCGUCGCGUCGAUCGUGAAAACUGGCGGCUCAACUGYSAGCUUGCGGUCGAUACGGGCGGACUAGAGUACUUCAGGGGAGACUGGAAUUCCUGGUGUAGCGGUGAAAUGCGCAGAUAUCAGGAGGAACACCGGUGGCGAAGGCGGGUCUCUGGGAAGUAACUGACGCUGAGAAGCGAAAGCGUGGGUAGCGAACAGGAUUAGAUACCCUGGUAGUCCACGCCGUAAACGGUGGGUACUAGGUGUGGGUUUCCUUCCACGGGAUCCGUGCCGUAGCUAACGCAUUAAGUACCCCGCCUGGGGAGUACGGCCGCAAGGCUAAAACUCAAAGGAAUUGACGGGGGCC
Molecule: ribosomal RNA, 680 nt
Filed under: bacterium 4g100809C
Lineage: Bacteria
Description: bacterial SSU rRNA
Rfam family: Bacterial small subunit ribosomal RNA
Source: RNAcentral